Molecule: ribosomal RNA, 432 nt
Filed under: uncultured bacterium
Lineage: Bacteria
Description: bacterial SSU rRNA
Rfam family: Bacterial small subunit ribosomal RNA
Source: RNAcentral
GAACGCGAAGAACCUUACCAGGUCUUGACAUCCCUCUGACCACUCUAGAGAUAGAGUUUUCCUUCGGGACAGAGGUGACAGGUGGUGCAUGGUUGUCGUCAGCUCGUGUCGUGAGAUGUUGGGUUAAGUCCCGCAACGAGCGCAACCCCUAUUGUUAGUUGCCAUCAUUUAGUUGGGCACUCUAGCGAGACUGCCGGUAAUAAACCGGAGGAAGGUGGGGAUGACGUCAAAUCAUCAUGCCCCUUAUGACCUGGGCUACACACGUGCUACAAUGGCUGGUACAACGAGUCGCAAGCCGGUGACGGCAAGCUAAUCUCUUAAAGCCAGUCUCAGUUCGGAUUGUAGGCUGCAACUCGCUACAUGAAGUCGGAAUCGCUAGUAAUCGCGGAUCAGCACGCCGCGGUGAAUACGUUCCCGGGUCUUGUACACACC